Oncorhynchus tshawytscha (Chinook salmon) is the source of this 2101-nucleotide long non-coding RNA. Lineage: Eukaryota; Metazoa; Chordata; Actinopteri; Salmoniformes; Salmonidae. The record is from Ensembl.
UGACAUUGAUAUGACAUGAAUUUAUUUUUUAAAAGUCUGCCAGCCACCAUCUUGCAGAUGUACCUCAGCACAGGUAGUCUCCAAUGAAGACUGACAUCAACAAAGUCCGUAGGCUGUAAAGGUUCAAUUUACGGUCAUUCAAAGUUAACUUAAUAUCUAUUCAUGUGCACAAUUUCAUAAAAAGGUAUAUGGUAUGGGACAUUGGAAGAAUUGUACAAUUUCAAUAGCAUUAUAAUGAAAAUGUAUUUCACAAUAUAAUUUCAAGUACAUGUGAUGGUGAAUGCAAAGAUUUACACCAAGUGUGAGAACGAACAGGUUCGUUAAACAAAAAUCAAUUCUGACAUUUCACUAUCAAUCAUGUUACUAGUAUGCAAAAUCACAUUUCACCAUCAAUCAUGUUACUAGUAUGCAAAAUCACAUUUCACCAUGGAAUUAAAUUGACAUCAAAAGUAUUUUUGUUGCUGCAUUUUAGAUAACCCUUUCCCUUUUCCUAACCUUAACCUGCUCCUCUUAACCUGCUAUGUUAAUUAUCCUGACCUUAACCUACUCCUCUUAACCUGCUACGUUAAUUCUCCUAACCUUAACCUACUCCUCUUAACCUGCUAUGUAAAUUCUCCUAACCUUAACCUACUCCUCUUAACCUGCUAUGCUAAUUCUCCUAACCUUAACCUACUCCUCUUAACCUGCUACGUUAAUUCUCCUAACCUGCUACGAAAAAUACAUUUUUGACAAAAGUUGCUAUGUUACCAUACCCGGUCCACUAGGUGGUUGCUAUGUUACUAUACCCGGUCUGCUAGGUGGUUGAUAUGGUACCAUACCCGGUCUGCUAGGUGGUUGCUACAUUCACAGUAUUAGGCAAGACUGCAUUCUCUUCCUGGGCACCAGAGGCAAAGAAUAAUCUACAAUCCAUGCUUCAUCUAGAUAUGUUAGUGGCACUGAAUGGAUUUAAAAUAUUGAUGGGAGACUCUUACAGAGAGUAAAUGCUUUUUUUUUAUGUUGUUCAAACAUUCAUAGAUGACCUGCAGGGUCAGAUAAUAAUAACACAGUGGUUGUCGAGGGUGCAACAGGUCAGCACCUCAGGAGUAAAUGUCAGUUGGCUUUUCAAAGCCGAUCUUUCAGAGUUAGAGACAGCAGGUGCGGUAGAUAGAGAGUCGAAACAGAAGGUCUGGGACAGGUAGCACGUCCGGUGAACAAGUCAGGGUUCCAUAGCCACAGGCAGAACAGUUGAAACUGGAGCAGCAGCACAGCCAGGUGGACUGGGGACAGCAAGGAGUCAUCAGGCCAGGUAGUCCUGAGGCAUGGUCCUAGGGCUCAGGUCCUCCGAGAGAGAGAAAGAAAAAAAAAAUACAGAGAAUUAGAGGGAGCAUACUUAAAUUCACACAGGACACCGGAUAAGACAGGAGAAAUACUCCAGAUAUACUGCAGCAUAAAUACUGGAGGCUGAGACAGGAGGGGUCAGGAUCAAAUCAAAUCAAAUUUUAUUUGUCACAUAGACAUGGUUAGCAGAUGUUAAUGCGAGUGUAGCGAAAUGCUUGUGCUUCUAGUUCCGACAAUGCAGUAAUAACCAACAAGUAAUCUAACUAACAAUUUCAAAACUACUGUCUUAUACACAGUGUAAGGGGAUAAAGAAUAUGUACAUAAGGAUAUAUGAAUGAGUGAUGGUACAGAGCAGCAUAGGCAAGAUACAGUAGAUGGUAUCGAGUACAGUAUAUACAUAUGAGAUGAGUAUGUAAACAACGUGGCAUAGUUAAAGUGGCUAGUGAUACAUGUAUUACAUAAGGAUGCAGUCGAUGAUAUAGAGUACAGUAUAUAUACGUAUGCAUAUGAGAUGAAUAAUGUAGGGUAAGUAACAUUAUAUAAGGAAGCAUUGUUUAAAGUGGCUAGUGAUAUAUUUACAUCAUUUCCCAUCAAUUCCCAUUAUUAAAGUGGCUGGAGUUGAGUCAGUGUCAGUGUGUUGGCAGCAGCCACUCAAUGUUAGUGGUGGCUGUUUAACAGCCUGAUGGCCUUGAGAUAGAAGCUGUUUUUCAGUCUCUCGGUCCCAGCUUUGAUGCACCUGUACUGACCUCGCCUUCUGGAUGAUAGCGGGGUGAACAGGCAGUGG